UAAAAAAACAGGCCGAUAUAUGUACUUGCCGAAAUGAAAAAUUGCCAAAACUCUACCAAUAUUUAAAUUUAUGAUAUUAUUACAAAAAGGCACUUUUCGAAUUAAAAACAAAACUUUGCCGAAAUAUGUACUUGCCAGAAUCGGUAGUUAUGAUAUUCAAUAACAAAAAAAACAACAUAAAAAUAUGAUAUUAUCAAACUAAAAAUACACAAUAAACAAAUAAAAUGAACAAAAUUCACUAAUAAUCCGUCAAAACUAGAAAAAUACGUAAAUUACAAUAGAGCUUAAAAUAGCUUGAAUAUGAACACUUCACAGUAGAAAAAUCGAGCUUACAAUUUCAAUUUUC
This 346-nucleotide long non-coding RNA is filed under the name Salvia miltiorrhiza (redroot sage). RNAcentral's name for it is "long non-coding RNA (SMIL_LNC009552)". The record is from RNAcentral. Lineage: Eukaryota; Viridiplantae; Streptophyta; Magnoliopsida; Lamiales; Lamiaceae.